Molecule: ribosomal RNA, 449 nt
Filed under: uncultured bacterium
Lineage: Bacteria
Description: partial 16S ribosomal RNA
Rfam family: Bacterial small subunit ribosomal RNA
Source: RNAcentral
AACGAACGCUGGCGGCAUGCCUAACACAUGCAAGUCGAACGAAGCCUUCGGGCUUAGUGGCGCACGGGUGCGUAACGCGUGGGAAUCUGCCCUUUGGUUCGGAAUAACAGUUGGAAACGACUGCUAAUACCGGAUGAUGACGAAAGUCCAAAGAUUUAUCGCCAGAGGAUGAGCCCGCGUAGGAUUAGCUAGUUGGUGUGGUAAAGGCGCACCAAGGCGACGAUCCUUAGCUGGUCUGGGAGGAUGAUCAGCCACACUGGGACUGAGACACGGCCCAGACUCCUACGGGAGGAAGCAGUGGGGAAUAUUGGACAAUGGGCGAAAGCCUGAUCCAGCAAUGCCGCGUGAGUGAUGAAGGCCCUAGGGUUGUAAAGCUCUUUUACCCGGGAUGAUAAUGACAGUACCGGGAGAAUAAGCCCCGGCUAACUCCGUGCCAGCCGCCGCGGUAA